RNAcentral lists this ribosomal RNA (97 nucleotides) under Polyascus gregaria. RNAcentral's name for it is "partial 5.8S ribosomal RNA". It matches the Rfam family "5.8S ribosomal RNA", at positions 1 to 91 of the family's 154-position model. From Rfam's summary of the family: 5.8S ribosomal RNA (5.8S rRNA) is a component of the large subunit of the eukaryotic ribosome. It is transcribed by RNA polymerase I as part of the 45S precursor that also contains 18S and 28S rRNA. Functionally, it is thought that 5.8S rRNA may be involved in ribosome translocation. Lineage: Eukaryota; Metazoa; Arthropoda; Thecostraca; Sacculinidae. The record is from RNAcentral.
AACAUUGGGCUCCCAUGGCAGUGGAUCACUCGGCUUGUGGGUCGAUGAAGACCGGGGUAAAACCCGAGAGUGUUUGCGAAUUGCAGGAACACAAACA